UUAAUUAGGAAGUACUGAAUUCAGAGUCGAUCUCAAGCAGGAAUAAGUUAGCAGCUAAAAAUACACUAUAAAGGAGGUGAAACAACAACAACUAGUUGGUGGUAUUCCAGCUGAACUUGGUAAAUUGGAGCAGUUUUUUGAAUUGUGAGUCUUGACAUCUUAAUUUUCUCUCAUAUAAUUUUCUUGUUUGAUCCUUUAUUUAUUUAAAGUUUGUUGGUCAUUCUUUUGUAGGAAUCUUGCUAAUAACAAUUUGGAAGGGCCAAUUCCUCAGAACAUUAGUUCUUGCACUGCAUUGAAUCAAAUGUAAGAAAUCUAAAUUCCAGCAACGAUCUUGGAGUGUUAAGUGGUGACAAGUGGUCAGCAUCACUUGACUCCACUGCAUACCACGUACAGUUUAUGGACUUGCAUUUUUGCUGGAUAUUGCUAGAAAUUGAUCGUUAUAUGCUUAACUGGGGGAGACGGCCAUGAUCCUUCUAAAACAGCUGUAAAAGCAUCUUCAGCAGCCAUUCUGGCAAGAAUUUUGGUAAUGAAUACCAAUUACCUUGCCCAUUUAACAUCACAACCAUAACUAUUGGUAGUUCUCCAGUAGGCAGGAUUCCUCAUUGAAGAAAACAUUCUCCUUUACCUGGUUGACAUAUGGCUUAAAAAGGUCAGCUACUCCUGAACAUAAAUUAGCUACUAAUAUGCAUUUUCCCAAUCCCUCUCUGGGGGUUACCUAAUUUUUGUUUUAUUUACAAAUUGAACUUUGACUGUAGGCCAAUAGCUAUCCCAUAUCCUGAACUGGAGGCUCAUGAUUAUUUAUUUAUGGCUAAUAUAUUACGAUAAAGACAAGGAUAAAUUAUUCUAAUCUAAAAAUGGGUUUGGAGAAACUGCACCGCUUGGAAAGAAAGUGGACGUUUUGGUUUUUUUUCUUUGUGGUAAUGUUUUCCCACCUCCCAUCUUCCAGGGUAAGCAGGAUAACCAUAAAAAAACAAAGUAUGUCCAAAUUUCUGUGGAGUCGUAUACACAUCUAAUUGGGUUUGAGGAUGAAGUGAAGUCUUACGAGGACCAAGUGAAUUCAUACGAGGAUCAAGUGAAGACAUUUGAGGAUCAAGUGACUUCAUACGAGGUUCAAGUGACUUCGUAUAAGGAUCAAGUGAAAGCAUUAGAAGAUGAUGUUGAGGAAUUGAAUGAAAAGCUGUCUGCUGCGAAUUCAGAGUUGACAACGAAGGAAAGUCUAGUAAAAUAGCACGCUAAACUUGCUGAAGAAGCUGUUUUAGGUACGUUGGUGUGGUGCUGGUCGUCCAUGAAAUAUUAGGUCGUGCAAUGUCAUAUAUUUUAUUCUUUUUUUAGAGUAAGAGAUUUUAUGAAAUUGAUUCAUUUCCUCGAACAGGUUGGGAAAAAGCUGAGGUAGAAGCUUUGGCAUUGAAAAAUCAUCUAGAAUCAGUUACAUUGUUAAAGCUUACUGCUGAAGAUCGAGCAUCACAUUUAGAUGGUGCUUUGAAGGAGUGCAUGCGGCAGAUUAGAAAUUUAAAAGAAGAACAUGAGCAGAAACUGCAGGAAGUUGUUCUUACCAAAACACAGUAAUACGAUAUGAUAAAGCUUGAGCUCGAAACACAGUUGAUAUAUUUAUUAGCUUUGGUAAGUUGGUGUUCAUUAGGUGCUUGUCUUGAUUUUGUAGGAGUGUAGAAAACUCUUUCUUGUGAAGUUGCCAGAAAGUAGAAAGUUCAUUGUAUCGAAAAACCAAAAAUUACUUGCGGUUCCUUUGGGUAUUGCAUCUGUGAAACACUGUGGGUAUUGCAUAAACUACACGGCAUAUGUAGUUUUUAAAAGCAUGUACAUGUCAUAACCCUCAUUAUUCUGUGCAAAGAGAAAUGACAUUCAAGAUACUUGACAGGCUAAUGGAUUCUGUAGAAAGACAAUUAGGAUAGGGGUUUCAAGUUAGAAAAUUUGAACACUUUUUCUCUUAUUGAUGAUCCUUGUGACACUGGUAGAUUUUUAAAAUGGUUAAACUAAGUGGUACAACUAUAUCUCUUUUGGUUUCAUGAAGUGAUAGGAAUCAUAUAUACAAGAUAGUAAUAAUCUUAAUAUACAUAAAUUAUUAAGUCGGUCUGUUGUUAGAAUAUAAUCAUAUACCUUAAUCAUCAGCUUUUAAGGAAGAUUUUAUCGAGGCGAUUUUGGCAUUGAUUCUGUGCAUCUCAUUCAUUUUAUCACAAUGAAACUGCAUUCUGCAACAGUUAUCUGUAUACUUGUUUAAUGCUAUUUUGUGUAGGCUGUAGAUGGUAUUGGCUUGUUAAGUAAAUUUCAUUGGAUAUUUCCCAGCUAGCUUAGAGACUAAUUGUAGAUUUGUCUAUAUUAUUUGUAUUCCCUACUCCAAGAAUGGUUUUUGGUUAGUCCUGCUGCUUGCGGCUUGAGAUUUUAGAUUUGUCUCAUGCUCUCUAUUCAUGUUUUUGUAAUUAUCUUUUCUCCCUAUUCUGUAGGUUUCCUGGGAAAUUUCUCUUUUAAUUCGUUCAGAGUACUCCUUGACUGAACCUUAUGUGGCGCAUGUUCUUAUUGAGGCUAUUCACUGUGGAUCUGUUAUAUUUGUUGGAAACAACAUGGUGAUUCGUGACGCGGACAUGUAUGGAUGUAACAUGGCAAAAUGUACACAUAGUAAUGCUAUGUUGUUAAACUCAAGAUUAAAAUGUACACAUAGUAAUGCUAUGUUGUUCUUGCACUGCAUUGAAUCAAAUGUAAGAAAUCUAAAUUCCAGCAACGAUCUUGGAGUGUUAAGUGGUGACAAGUGGUCAGCAUCACUUGACUCCACUGCAUACCACGUACAGUUUAUGGACUUGCAUUUUUGCUGGAUAUUGCUAGAAAUUGAUCGUUAUAUGCUUAACUGGGGGAGACGGCCAUGAUCCUUCUAAAACAGCUGUAAAAGCAUCUUCAGCAGCCAUUCUGGCAAGAAUUUUGGUAAUGAAUACCAAUUACCUUGCCCAUUUAACAUCACAACCAUAACUAUUGGUAGUUCUCCAGUAGGCAGGAUUCCUCAUUGAAGAAAACAUUCUCCUUUACCUGGUUGACAUAUGGCUUAAAAAGGUCAGCUACUCCUGAACAUAAAUUAGCUACUAAUAUGCAUUUUCCCAAUCCCUCUCUGGGGGUUACCUAAUUUUUGUUUUAUUUACAAAUUGAACUUUGACUGUAGGCCAAUAGCUAUCCCAUAUCCUGAACUGGAGGCUCAUGAUUAUUUAUUUAUGGCUAAUAUAUUACGAUAAAGACAAGGAUAAAUUAUUCUAAUCUAAAAAUGGGUUUGGAGAAACUGCACCGCUUGGAAAGAAAGUGGACGUUUUGGUUUUUUUUCUUUGUGGUAAUGUUUUCCCACCUCCCAUCUUCCAGG
RNAcentral lists this long non-coding RNA (3355 nucleotides) under Panax ginseng (ginseng). RNAcentral's name for it is "long non-coding RNA (PGIN_LNC000208)". The record is from RNAcentral. Lineage: Eukaryota; Viridiplantae; Streptophyta; Magnoliopsida; Apiales; Araliaceae.